CAGAAAAUAGUUUAAUUUAGAAUACUAGCUUUGGGAGUUAGAGGUGGAAGUUCAAAUCUCUCUUUUCUGG
This 70-nucleotide transfer RNA is filed under the name Abramites hypselonotus (marbled headstander). Its description in RNAcentral is "tRNA-Pro". It matches the Rfam family "tRNA". From Rfam's summary of the family: Transfer RNA (tRNA) molecules are approximately 80 nucleotides in length. Their secondary structure includes four short double-helical elements and three loops (D, anti-codon, and T loops). The record is from RNAcentral. Lineage: Eukaryota; Metazoa; Chordata; Actinopteri; Characiformes; Anostomidae.